Long non-coding RNA from Mangifera indica (mango), 524 nucleotides. RefSeq lists it as uncharacterized. The transcript is spliced from 3 exons. Lineage: Eukaryota; Viridiplantae; Streptophyta; Magnoliopsida; Sapindales; Anacardiaceae. The record is from RefSeq and is a predicted model, not a curated record.
GGGAUGGGGAGUUUAGAGUCAAUGACAGAUCAUACUCUAGUGCCAGAUAAGAUGUCAACACCAUGCUUGGCAUGGCUGAGAGCUUGAACCAUGGUGAUCAAGGUUGACCUUGCAUCCCCUUCUUCAUAAACACUUGUAAGGUUCCCUGGUAACCCAAUAGAAAUGAGCACUUGUCCUUGGAGAUUUCUUCUUUGUCAAACUUGAAGCUGUAGACAUGGUUGACGAGGCAAAGCUGUUCCAACUGUCAUCUGAUCUGCUGGUGUCCCCAUUUAAAUCCUAGGCGCCAUAAGAAUGUUGAUCUCUAAGGAUGCUUAUAAAAGGAGUAGCUCCAAUUCCCAGCCCCACAAGGAGCAAGACAUCGUAAUUUCUGUAGUCCUGUGCCGGAGCACCAUAUGGGCCAUCAACAAUCAGUUUUGGUUGCCUGCAUGAGUGUAUUCUGCCAGGUUAAUAUUUUCAUACAUAUUUGUACAAGUUAAUUACUAUGGCAGUAACGGCUUCAAUAAAAUUAUAUGUAUUUACUUUAA